This is a non-coding RNA of Weissella confusa LBAE C39-2, 141 nucleotides long. The record is from Rfam. Lineage: Bacteria; Bacillati; Bacillota; Bacilli; Lactobacillales; Lactobacillaceae.
GAAUAUCUUCAGGGCAGGGUGAAAUUCCCGACCGGCGGUAACUGCGUUUUGUAGAAGUCCGCGACCCACAUCCGUUAUUGGUGUGGCUGACACGGUGUGAAUCCGUGACCGACAGUAAAGUCUGGUAUGCAGAAGAAAAAA